Non-coding RNA from Caenorhabditis elegans, 136 nucleotides. Lineage: Eukaryota; Metazoa; Nematoda; Chromadorea; Rhabditida; Rhabditidae. The record is from Ensembl.
UCCCAAGAGGCAACACUUUCAACACCUAUUUCGAGAAAACAAAUACAAGAAUUGAGAAGCGAUGGGAAUGAGGGGGGAGAUGGGAUGACUCUGGAUGUACACUCUCUGUCUCUUCCUCUCUCUCCAUCUCUCUAGG